CGGGUGGCAGCAGCAGUGGGGAAUAUUGCACAAUGGGCGCAAGCCUGAUGCAGCCAUGCCGCGUGUAUGAAGAAGGCCUUCGGGUUGUAAAGUACUUUCAGCGGGGGGGAAGGGAGUAAAGUUAAUACCUUUGCUCAUUGACGUUACCCGCAGAAGAAGCACCGGCUAACUCCGUGCCAGCAGCCGCGGUAAUACGGAGGGUGCAAGCGUUAAUCGGAAUUACUGGGCGUAAAGCGCACGCAGGCGGUUUGUUAAGUCAGAUGUGAAAUCCCCGGGCUCAACCUGGGAACUGCAUCUGAUACUGGCAAGCUAGAGUCUCGUAGAGGGGGGUAGAAUUCCAGGUGUAGCGGUGAAAUGCGUAGAGAUCUGGAGGAAUACCGGUGGCGAAGGCGGCCCCCUGGACGAAGACUGACGCUCAGGUGCGAAAGCGUGGGGAGCAAACAGGAUUAGAUACCCUAGUAGUC
RNAcentral lists this ribosomal RNA (464 nucleotides) under uncultured bacterium. RNAcentral's name for it is "partial 16S ribosomal RNA". It matches the Rfam family "Bacterial small subunit ribosomal RNA", at positions 342 to 795 of the family's 1533-position model. The record is from RNAcentral.